GGCCAAUAUGAGUUGGUCAAUUAAAAAAAUAUAUAUUAUUUUGACUUAUUUAAAUGAGAGGCGCAAUAAUAUCAAAUAUGUAUGUGUCACUCACUGUGUUGGAUUUUCUGACUCCUUCUUCAGUUGGAGGACUAUAUCGCCUGCUGAGUCCUCCUUCCCAGGAAAAUAGUCUUCUGAAAGCUUCUUUCCAUCUUUGUCCACCAUAACCAGUUUGAUUCCUUUGCCUUCCAGAGCAUCACUCUGGGUGAGGACAUGGAUGUCCAAAGCCGUAGCAGGGCGGUUAACAUCAGAAAUGUCCUCAAUGUAGCACUCCAAGUCUUUCUUGUCAGACUCUGACAGGGACUCAUGUGGACGCUGGAGGACCUUUUUCAUGUUGUACUUAUACUCCUGGCUGUUAAAGAAACUUUGGGUGUCAGCCCUGCCAAGUAUGUUGCUAACAGCACCACCAACAGCAUGGUUUAUUUGACUUAUGCACAUUUUGCUCAUGAUGGAGGUCAUAUGCCUGGAACAGGCCUCAACAUAAGAGUUUGAAACACUUUCUGCAAUCAUGUUGAUGAGUUUAUCUUUAAAGCGUUUUACAUCUGAUAAACUGUGCCUUUCAUCCUGGUCAUUGCUUUCCUGAGGUAGUUUUUCCAUUCUUUGCAAGAGCUUAGGAACAAAGGUGUCAGGAAUCACUUCUCUUGUUAUCAGAUCCACUGACUGAAGCAUUUCUUCCUCACACUCUUUGUGAAUUCUGAAUUCACUGGACCCAUUCUCCAGGAUAUUCUUUGGUAUUCCUGAGCAAAUGAAGCUUGUGAGAACUUCAUCCAGGUUACGGUUGGCUUUUAUGAGUGAAAGCACCUUUUCCUCAAAGACUUUCCUCAGAACGUUUUGGAAAAAAGUAUUAAAUGCCUUCUCAGCAGUAUAACUCAGAGCACUGAUGCAUCCUUGCUUCCCCAGUUCCUGAACUGCAUACUUCCCUGCCUUCAGAAAACACUGUUUUACUGUGUAGGCACUAGUCUUUGCUCCUGCGAUCAGACCUUUUGUGCCACUACGCACUGCACUUGCAGCUUUCUUUAGUCGGCUGAAUCCACCAGAGAUCAGAGACAGCCCGAUGCUGAUGGCCUUGGAGAUUGCCCAUUCAGCCCAGUCAAAGCCUCCUUGUAUCAUUCCUUUGAUCCCUUGAAUCAUGUCAGAUACUCCCUCACAGAUCAGUCCAAGUCCAAACUGGCUGGCACCACCACAUGACAGAGCACAAACAAGAACACCUGCUGCAACUUGAAGGGCACCAAGAACAAAACAAACAAGGGCAUCAUAGCAGAACUCGGGCUUCUUUUUAACCUCAAAGACUGUGCUAAGGCCAUUCUCAUAGAGCAUCAUCAGCUCAUUGGUGGUGAUUAAAUCUUUAUCUUUGGAAAGAUGGUACACACUGGAAUCCUCUACUUCUGCAUCAGCUUUGAUGCCAUUGAGCUGUGUCAGAGUUGUCAGGGCACUUUCGAUGUAUCUUUUCCAAGAUUUGAAGAUAGUCAUCCUGGCUUGCAUUUGGAUCUGGAGGUUGCUGUUUGUGUGGUGUGGAACAAAGCCACUCGUCACUGAAAGAUUACAAAACAUCAUCGUAUUUGUUGAUUCUGAGAGAUAGACAUCCACUGCAGACUGUGCUUCCUCCAAUAAUUCCUUUGCCUCAGCAAUGUAGUCUCCUUUUCUGAGGUUGAGUGUGAUGUAAGCUUGAUUAUAAAGUGCCACAGCACUGUAGAAAUGAUCGCACUCUGCAGCUCUCUGCCAGUAAGUCUUUGCUCCAAAGUCACAUUUGGUUUUGUUCAUGCAGUGCAGGUCAGUUCUGCUUGCUGCCUGUUUGAUGUAAUCAUAGAAAUUAUAGCUCGUCCCCUGCAGGAGGAAGUCACCAGUCUUCUUCAAGUGUUUGGUGAGGUCUUCUCUCAGCUGGCUGAUAUCGUCAUGUCUGCUGAUGUCCUUUUCAUGAAGGAUGAGCCACAAAGCCCACGAUUCUUUCAAAGCAUCAAGUGCAGUCUGAUAGUCGAACUUGUUCUGAUGGAUCUUAAAAUAUUCAGGAACAUCCUUCAGCUUCAUCUUGGACAGGUCACUCCUUUCUUCUACCGUGUAAUUCUUGUCAAAGUUACAGAGAAACUGACAGAAACUGGAGAACAGAGUUUCCUUCAUGUCAAUUUCACAGAGUUCAUGUUUCUCCAUGCUGUCUAAAUGUCUGAGCUCAUACUCCUCUCUGAGCUGUCUCAUGGUUUCGAUGGAAUGGCCUUGGUAGGCUGGUGCAAGAUGGCCCUGGUUGAGAACCAUCUGGACCAUCCCUGGGUUUCCUUUUCGGGCGGUGCGUCCAAAGACCUGUCGCUCCACACGGUGACUUCUAGGAAAGUAUGUGAGGAGCACAAAGAGGCCUCCACUCUCGUUUACGUCCUGCUGAACGUGUAUGUCUGUCCCUCGGCCGCCGAGGUUUGUAGCAAUGAUAAUGUUUCCCCGGCUAAAGUUCUGCUUCUCGAUGUUGUGCUUCUCGCUGAUUGUGUACAUGGUGAUCUCAUUGGCUUGCCUUUCUGGAACAUGCAUGUUUGUCUUCAGCUCAUCUGCAGUUUUAACAUCUUCACAAAUGAUAAGAACAACUUGGCCUCUGUCUGCAGCGCUCUGUGCAGUUUCACAGAUCAUCUGGAUCCACUGCAUGUUGCCUCCACUCACCUGAACUGCUGGCAACUCAACAAGCUUUUUACAGCGGUGAGCUGGAAUGACAUAGCUUGCUGUUUGGUAAUGCCGUUCUAGAAAUACUUUCUCAGCUUGCCCCCCUAAUGUCCCAGAAACACCAAAAAUGCCUUUUCCAUUGAGGUACCGUUUAAAGAAAUGGACAUUGGACAUGUAAUUUGUUACAUUGGACAGCUGUGAAAUGGCCAGCUGGUGCUUCAUCUCCAGAAACUGUUGUAGGCCGUCACCCCAUCGCUUGUUUUUCUCCAACACCCCACUGGCCUCAAAGUCCACAGGAAUUAUGGCAUCAUACUGAUGACUAUCAGCAUCACUGAAACCACCUGCGUCAGCUUCCGGUGCUUUCUCAAUCAUGUACUCUCUUCCCUGAGUCAUUCUGAUGGCUUUUAAGGCGUUCUCGGCAAAAACUGGUAACUGAUUCUCAAUGUAUGUUUUCAAAAAAGAGGGGAUCACAAUAAAUCCCUUACACUCAUCCAAUGACUUCACUGAACACUCAUCAGAAUAUUUAAUUUUUGAUUUUAAUUUGUCCACAGCUCCUUGGAUGAGGGAUUCCUCGGACAUGAUUUCACAGGUACAGCCAUUCUCCAGGAGAAGUAGGCUGACAUGAAGGUCUCCAUGAGAGCUGUCCUUUCUGUAAAGUUUGGCUUUGUUGUUCAUUAGUGAGUAACAAUUUACAGAUACACCGUUUUCUAUUUUUUUCUGAACUUGUCUCAGUAGCUCACACUGUUUUUCUGGUCCAAUGUUGGCCAUGAUUUUCUCAGUAGCUUUCCACCUGGCAUCCUUAAAGCCGUCAGUCUCUGUUUGUGUCUGACCAUCUGCUUUAUUUAAUUCAUCCACAUCCUCCUGUGGAUAAAACCCCAGCUGGGCACCAAGAAUAAGUAUGUCAGCAGCUGAAACAUCUUCUGAUUCUGGGCCAACCACUGCUUGCAUUACAGCCUUGUGGAAGUGCUGGAUCCUGGUUCCCCACCUGAUCUCCCCAGUUUCAAACAUUUCUAUUGGCUUGCAGGAUGACAUCAUGGCCCAGAUGCUUGCCAGGACUUGCUCCAUGUGCCUUAGGCUGCCGGCUUGGUGUGACAGGAACGUGACCUGGACACCGCUGUCCAACGUCAUGUAGUCCACCUCAUCUACUACCACACACUCAAACCUCCUCGGACCUCGGGUAGUCUUCUUCUCAAACUCUUGCCUCAGUGUAUCUGCUGCAAAUGUACCAACAGUGCCAUAAAUGACCUGCUGGCUGUAUGCAUCCUCAAGCAGCUUGUCAUGAUCUUUAAAAGAGCAGCUAUCGAUUUGUGUCGGAGGGACCGUGGAUGAUGUAAUACCAAACACAUCAUAUAAUUUUCUCCACUUAUCCUGAUCACGACUUGCUAACAAAGGAGAGCUUGUCACAAUGUCCACCUUUAUGCCUCGGGUGGCCUGUAUUGUAGCAAACAUGGCUAAAAUACAAGUUUUGCCCUCUCCAGUGCUGAUUUCCAACAGACAACCUUUCUUAUCCCCAGACUGUGGCAGCAGAAGCAGCAGCAGUGAUGCUAGCUGACUGGGUCUUGGGAAGUAGCCCUGAACAUGUUCACCGCUUUGAGUGGUAAAGGCGGUGCAAUCCUUUACAGCUCUGGAUACGAUGAUCAGGACUUUCUUCAGAGCAUCAAUCUUAGGAUUGUUAAAAUCGAGAGCAGUUAUUAUCUUUUUACAGUCUUCAAUCAUCUCCCUGUUAAUGGCCACACUUCCAUAUUUGGGUAGCUCUUCUUCAAUAUAUGUCAGGACUUCUCGCAGGAGUGACGGGACACACUCUGGAAAGUUUUUGUUUUCCAUUUCAGCCAAAAGUGUGCAAGCAUCUUUGUCUCGCUCAGCUUUGUCCACACAAUGUUGGAUGUACUCUGCAGGAUCGUCUUCAUUCAGGGCAGAGAGAGCGUCGUCACAGCUCAGCCCGUACGUGCGCGCUUUGUGGAGGAUUUUUGUGACUGUUUCCUGAUCCAUGCUUAAUGUCUUUCCAAGGAAACGCUUGAUGUCUUUUGGUGCCCAGAGGUUGUUGAAGACUAUUUGACUGACGAUCUCCCUACCUGAUAGGGGUAGCUUUGAGGACAGAUCCAGAACAUUUGCUAACACCUGUUGGGCCAGUGUUGGGUUGUCAGCAUGUAGCUGUUCCUGCAAACUGAGGAGGAACUCUGU
Astatotilapia calliptera (eastern happy) is the source of this 4857-nucleotide long non-coding RNA. Lineage: Eukaryota; Metazoa; Chordata; Actinopteri; Cichliformes; Cichlidae. The record is from Ensembl.